AUUGAACGCUAGCGGGAUGCUUUACACAUGCCAGUCGAACGGCAGCGCGGACUUCGGUCUGGCGGCGAGUGGCGAACGGGUGAGUAAUGUAUCGGAACGUGCCCAGUAGCGGGGGAUAACUACGCGAAAGCGUAGCUAAUACCGCAUACGCCCUACGGGGGAAAGCAGGGGAUCGUAAGACCUUGCACUAUUGGAGCGGCCGAUAUCGGAUUAGCUAGUUGGUGAGGUAACGGCUCACCAAGGCGACGAUCCGUAGCUGGUUUGAGAGGACGGCCAGCCACACUGGGACUGAGACACGGCCCAGACUCCUACGGGAGGCAGCAGUGGGGAAUUUUGGACAAUGGGGGCAACCCUGAUCCAGCCAUCCCGCGUGUGCGAUGAAGGCCUUCGGGUUGUAAAGCACUUUUGGCAGGAAAGAAACGUCGCGGGCUAAUACCCCGUGGAACUGACGGUACCUGCAGAAUAAGCACCGGCUAACUACGUG
RNAcentral lists this ribosomal RNA (484 nucleotides) under uncultured bacterium. Its description in RNAcentral is "partial 16S ribosomal RNA". It matches the Rfam family "Bacterial small subunit ribosomal RNA", at positions 30 to 507 of the family's 1533-position model. The record is from RNAcentral.